Molecule: ribosomal RNA, 299 nt
Filed under: uncultured bacterium
Lineage: Bacteria
Description: partial 16S ribosomal RNA
Rfam family: Bacterial small subunit ribosomal RNA
Source: RNAcentral
UAAUACGUAGGCAGCGAGCGUUGUUCGGAAUUACUGGGCGUAAAGAGUGUGUAGGCGGUGUUCCCAGUCUGUUGUGAAAUCUCCCGGCUUAACUGGGAGGGUGCAGCGGAAACUAGAAUGCUAGAGGGUGGGAGAGGUAAGCGGAAUUCCUGGUGUAGCGGUGAAAUGCGUAGAUAUCAGGAGGAACACCUGUGGUGUAGACAGCUUACUGGACCACUUCUGACGCUGAGACACGAAAGCGUGGGUAGCAAACAGGAUUAGAUACCCUGGUAGUCCACGCCCUAAACGAUGCAUACUUG